Molecule: transfer RNA, 73 nt
Filed under: Micromonospora ureilytica
Lineage: Bacteria; Bacillati; Actinomycetota; Actinomycetes; Micromonosporales; Micromonosporaceae
Description: tRNA-Thr
Source: RNAcentral
GAGGCAGCGGUCAUGGGGUUGAAAGCCACUCGUAAUCCCUCGGUCGCGGGUUCGGGUCCCGCCCGCCCCACCA